GUGAGUGAAGAAGGUUUUCGGAUACGUAAAGCUCUGUUGUAAGAGAAGAACGGGUGUGAGAGUGGAAAGUUCACACUGUGACGGUAUCUUACCAGAAAGGGACGGCUAACUACGUGCCAGCAGCCGCGGUAAUACGUAGGGUCCCCGAGCGUUGUCCGGAUUUAUUGGGCGUAAAGCGAGCGCAGGCGGUUAGAUAAGUCUGAAGUUAAAGGCUGUGGCUUAACCAUAGUAUGCUUUGGAAACUGUUUAACUUGAGUGCAGAAGGGGAGAGUGGAAUUCCAUGUGUAGCGGUGAAAUGCGUAGAUAUAUGGAGGAACACCGGUGGCGAAAGCGGCUCUCUGGUCUGUAACUGACGCUGAGGCUCGAAAGCGUGGGGAGCAAACAGGAUUAGAUACCCUGGUAGUCCACGCCGUAAACGAUGAGUGCUAGGUGUUAGGCCCUUUCCGGGGCUUAGUGCCGCAGCUAACGCAUUAAGCACUCCGCCUGGGGAGUACGACCGCAAGGUUGAAACU
This 512-nucleotide ribosomal RNA is filed under the name Streptococcus sanguinis. RNAcentral describes it as "bacterial SSU rRNA". It matches the Rfam family "Bacterial small subunit ribosomal RNA", at positions 401 to 901 of the family's 1533-position model. Lineage: Bacteria; Bacillati; Bacillota; Bacilli; Lactobacillales; Streptococcaceae. The record is from RNAcentral.